GGGUCCCGGUCGGCGGGCACGGGCCCGGUCCUCGUGGGGUCGGCGACGGGCACCGCCCCCAGGACCGUCGUCGGUUCGUCCGACGAGGACCGC
Molecule: transfer RNA, 93 nt
Filed under: Cellulomonas chitinilytica
Lineage: Bacteria; Bacillati; Actinomycetota; Actinomycetes; Micrococcales; Cellulomonadaceae
Also listed under: 1 other name
Description: tRNA-Thr
Source: RNAcentral